RNAcentral lists this ribosomal RNA (506 nucleotides) under uncultured bacterium. RNAcentral describes it as "partial 16S ribosomal RNA". It matches the Rfam family "Bacterial small subunit ribosomal RNA", at positions 30 to 523 of the family's 1533-position model. The record is from RNAcentral.
AUUGAACGCUGGCGGCAGGCCUAACACAUGCAAGUCGAACGGUAACAGAAAGCAGCUUGCUGCUUUGCUGACGAGUGGCGGACGGGUGAGUAAUGUCUGGGAAACUGCCUGAUGGAGGGGGAUAACUACUGGAAACGGUAGCUAAUACCGCAUAACGUCGCAAGACCAAAGAGGGGGACCUUCGGGCCUCUUGCCAUCGGAUGUGCCCAGAUGGGAUUAGCUAGUAGGUGGGGUAACGGCUCACCUAGGCGACGAUCCCUAGCUGGUCUGAGAGGAUGACCAGCCACACUGGAACUGAGACAAGGUCCAGACUCCUACGGGAGGCAGCAGUGGGGAAUAUUGCACAAUGGGCGCAAGCCUGAUGCAGCCAUGCCGCGUGUAUGAAGAAGGCCUUCGGGUUGUAAAGUACUUUCAGCGAGGAGGAAGGUGUUGUGGUUAAUAACCACAGCAAUUGACGUUACUCGCAGAAGGAGCACCGGCUAACUCCGUGCCAGCAGCCGCCGCGG